This 802-nucleotide long non-coding RNA is filed under the name Homo sapiens (human). RNAcentral's name for it is "HSALNT0383816". Lineage: Eukaryota; Metazoa; Chordata; Mammalia; Primates; Hominidae. The record is from RNAcentral.
AGCACAGCCUACUACACACCCAGGCUGUAGGCUGUGCUUCUAGACUACAAACCUGUACAGUGUGGUACUGAACACUGUAGGCAACUGUAACACAAUGGUGUACCUAAUUCCUCUGCCUAGAAAGUGUGCUGGAAUUACUGCCUGGCUUCUGAUGAAUAGGGCGUAUUGAGAGUGAUGCUUUGUGAGUUCUGAGGCUAGGUCAUAGAAAGGAUUGAACUUAUUCCUGAAUGUUGCUCUUGGAUCACUUGCUUUUUUGGGAACCACCAGCCAUGUCAUGAGGACACUCAAGCAACCCUGCAGAGAAGCACAUGUGUGGAGAGGCACUUCUUGGAAAGGAGGCCAACUUGCCAGAACCAACUAAUUUGUCAUGUGAGUGAGUCAUUUUGGAAGCAGAUCCUCUACCCUCAGUCAGGCCUUCCGAUGAUUUCAGCCCCCAGCCUUUGAGUCUGCCCCAAACACCAUGAGUAGAGACAAGCCCUUCCCACUGUGUCCACCCUGGCUGAAUUCCAGACCGUUAAAAAAACAAGAGAAAAUAAAUUAUUAUUAGUGUUUUGAGUCACUAAGUUUUGGACUAAUUUGUUAUGCAGCAAUAGCUAACAACUACAGAGUCAUAACACAAACUAAAAUUAAUUCUAAGGCAUGUUAAAGAUUUAUAUGAAAGCAUUCAUCUAAUGGAGGUGUGCAAGAAGUGGCUAUAAAAAAUUUAGGGCACCCAAAAGCAACCUGUAGGCUGAGCAGGGUAAGUACAUCUGCAAGAGCAGCCAGAUGGCUAGUUGGUCCCUGUGUGCAGCCUCUCUACCCA